RNAcentral lists this ribosomal RNA (253 nucleotides) under uncultured bacterium. RNAcentral describes it as "partial 16S ribosomal RNA". It matches the Rfam family "Bacterial small subunit ribosomal RNA", at positions 524 to 776 of the family's 1533-position model. The record is from RNAcentral.
UACGUAGGGUGCAAGCGUUGUCCGGAAUUAUUGGGCGUAAAGAGCUCGUAGGCGGUCUGUCGCGUCGGCUGUGAAAUCCCGAGGCUCAACCUCGGGUCUGCAGUCGAUACGGGCAAACUAGAGUAUUGCAGGGGAGACUGGAAUUCCUGGUGUAGCGGUGAAAUGCGCAGAUAUCAGGAGGAAUACCGGUGGCGAAGGCGGCAUCCUGGACCGGCAUUGACGCUGAGGAGCGAAAGCUAGGGGAGCAAACGGG